GCAGUAGCCGCGGUAAUGCGUAGGUGGCAAGCGUUGUCCGGAAUUAUUGGGCGUAAAGGGCUCGCAGGCGGUUUCUUAAGUCUGAUGUGAAAGCCCCCGGCUCAACCGGGGAGGGUCAUUGGGAACUGGGAAACUUGAGUGCAGAAGAGGAGAGUGGAAUUCCACGUGUAGCGGUGAAAUGCGUAGAGAUGUGGAGGAACACCAGUGGCGAAGGCGACUCUCUGGUCUGUAACUGACGCUGAGGAGCGAAAGCGUGGGGAGCGAACAGGAUUAGAUACCCGCUAGUCCCUGUCUCUUAUACC
RNAcentral lists this ribosomal RNA (302 nucleotides) under uncultured bacterium. RNAcentral describes it as "partial 16S ribosomal RNA". It matches the Rfam family "Bacterial small subunit ribosomal RNA", at positions 508 to 808 of the family's 1533-position model. The record is from RNAcentral.